Felis catus (domestic cat) is the source of this 85-nucleotide transfer RNA. It matches the Rfam family "tRNA". Rfam says of the family: Transfer RNA (tRNA) molecules are approximately 80 nucleotides in length. Their secondary structure includes four short double-helical elements and three loops (D, anti-codon, and T loops). The record is from Rfam. NCBI's taxonomy places the organism in Eukaryota, Metazoa, Chordata, Mammalia, Carnivora, Felidae.
GCCUGGGUGGCUCAGUCGGUUGAGCAUCUGACUUUGGCUCAGGUCAUGAUCUUACAGUUCGUGGGUUUGGGCCCCGCAUUGGGCU